AUUGAACGCUGGCGGCAUGCUUUACACAUGCAAGUCGAGCGGCAGCGCGGGGGCAACCCUGGCGGCGAGCGGCGAACGGGUGAGGAAUACAUCGGAACGUACCCCGGAGUGGGGGGAUAACGCCGCGAAAGCGGCGCUAAUACCGCAUAUGCUCUGAGGAGGAAAGUGGGGGACCGCAAGGCCUCACGCUCUGGGAGCGGCCGAUGUCCGAUUAGCUAGUUGGUGGGGUAAAGGCCCACCAAGGCGACGAUCGGUAGCUGGUCUGAGAGGAUGAUCAGCCACACUGGGACUGAGACACGGCCCAGACUCCUACGGGAGGCAGCAGUGGGGAAUUUUGGACAAUGGGGGCAACCCUGAUCCAGCCAUGCCGCGUGCGGGAAGAAGGCCUGG
RNAcentral lists this ribosomal RNA (390 nucleotides) under uncultured bacterium. RNAcentral describes it as "bacterial SSU rRNA". It matches the Rfam family "Bacterial small subunit ribosomal RNA", at positions 28 to 419 of the family's 1533-position model. The record is from RNAcentral.